AUGUUGUCGGAGGUCGCGGUCGAGGAGGACGCGGCCGUCGCGGGAGUCCUGCACGGUCCAGUGGCAGUAGGAGUCGAUGAAGGAGAAGUAGAAGUCGGCGGCGAGGGCGAGCGCGCGGGCUGCGGGCGCGGAUGGGUGCGGCGGCAAAGCGGGACGGAACCUGCCGUAGUCGAGGAAUCCGAGGAGUGGUGGUGCGUGGAGGCGGCGGAAUCUGCGGAGGAAGGAGCCGUCGGUGGAGAUUUGGCGGAAGGUGACGCAGGCUGCGGAGGCGCGGGCGAGGUCGGCCGGGUCGGGCAGGCGGAGGAAGAUCUCGGCAAGGAGGUGGUCCGGGAUCUCCGUCAGAGGCGACGCCAUCUCCUGAUCUUCUGA
RNAcentral lists this ribosomal RNA (369 nucleotides) under Triticum aestivum (bread wheat). Its description in RNAcentral is "partial small subunit ribosomal RNA". The record is from RNAcentral. Lineage: Eukaryota; Viridiplantae; Streptophyta; Magnoliopsida; Poales; Poaceae.